CUCUUUCUCCAUCUCCCUUGAGCUUUCAUUUCUCUCACAGAGAGAGAGAGAAAGAGAGAGAGAGGGAAUCAUUCUACAAUCUGUCAUAUUCCUCCUAAAGCUUGAGAGAUCAGAUCUCGCAAAGCCCACCGACGACGAGAGCAAUGGCUGAAAAGGUGCAUAUUACCUUCCUCAUCCUUCCAAUUUAUGAAGACUCUUUCUCUCUGACUGACAGAAAGAUUAUUGUAACCCACAAAUGAUCAGCUCUUUUGCAUUCUUGCAUAAAAAAAUAGAUUUCUCAUUCUUCUGGUGGCCGAAAGAGCCGUGCUUUCCUCUGCUUUUAGCUUCGUUUUGUUUGCAGAGCACAGAAGAUCUUUGCUUGUGUUGUUCACUCACUCUCUCUGUGUUUGUGCGUAUGUGUGUGUGACUGUGAGUGUAGAAAG
This 422-nucleotide long non-coding RNA is filed under the name Eucalyptus grandis. Its description in RNAcentral is "long non-coding RNA (EGRA_LNC006677)". Lineage: Eukaryota; Viridiplantae; Streptophyta; Magnoliopsida; Myrtales; Myrtaceae. The record is from RNAcentral.